This 1135-nucleotide ribosomal RNA is filed under the name Triticum aestivum (bread wheat). RNAcentral describes it as "partial small subunit ribosomal RNA". The record is from RNAcentral. Lineage: Eukaryota; Viridiplantae; Streptophyta; Magnoliopsida; Poales; Poaceae.
UAAAGAGAAUCAGUUUGGCAGCUCUAACCUAGACUCUAGAGAGCAAGACCAAUGAGGUAGGAGUCCCGCAGUCCUGCCGCCGCUGUGACGCCUAGUGUGGCCUCAGGUAGCUUGCUUGCAUGUGGCAGAGUCUUCCCGUGUUACUACUUAAGUUGUGUUUUAAGACGACCAUCCUCUGGUUCAUGUUAUGUAGCAGUUGAACCAUUACUAUAAAUACAAGUGAAGUUAAAUACGGUAUCGUCGUUUCCUUGAGUUCUUGUUAGACUGUGAGUGCACAGACGAUUACUGUACACACGUGGCCUACUUACCGGCAGGGUACGAGCGGCGUUGGUACGUGUCGACGUCUUACUUUCACUACCUGUCUUCUUCUUUCCCGCUCCACAAGAUUUUCCAAAAUUUAGUUCGUUCUUCGCAAAACGGUUACCUAAACGUUUCGAUUAUAACGUAAGAGACUUUUAAACCCACCAUGUCAUCCUUACUUGAUAGCAAGUAAGUUCCUACUGCACCAUCAGUAUUACUUUUCUUUCAGUGGUGAGUAACCUCACUCCUCUAUUAGCCUGUAAGUGGGAUGGUAGGUAGAUGAGUAACGACGUCUAUACUACGACCCUAAACCUACUAUGUGGUCUUUGUCUUCUUUGUUAAGAGUUUUAACGCUUUCUCGCUAUAUCUCCGACCGCUAGUUGAGAUUCGAGGUGAAUGUUCCGUAUUUUUUGGCUACGCUCAUCUAACCUGUUACACGGCCUUCUAAAUGUUGGUCUUCUCACCCUUACCUACUAACUCAUGAAGCCGUGACUAAGUUUGAAAGUCUGAAGAUUUGGCCUCUUCUCGGUCUAACAUAACGAGAAACCCUUGAUUGGGUGUGCUUCUUACCUUGUACCUGAUUGUUUCUCAUCGUACUACAAAUACUAGUUUCAUUGACCUUACCUGAGAUCUGGUACCUGUUAAAUCAGAAACGAAAAUUAAUCCUACCGUGUAAGUCAUACAACUUACACACGAUUUAAUAUAAAGUCAAAGUAAACUACCUAUAACCGGUACAUUUGGAACUACAAAAUACAUAGAUGUUAAGAUGUAGUAUAUACGUAAUAAACUGAGUACAUUAACUCACGGACAUAAAAAAAUGCCGACGUCACCCGAU